This 408-nucleotide ribosomal RNA is filed under the name uncultured bacterium. Its description in RNAcentral is "partial 16S ribosomal RNA". It matches the Rfam family "Bacterial small subunit ribosomal RNA", at positions 29 to 526 of the family's 1533-position model. The record is from RNAcentral.
AGUGAACGCUGGCGGCGUGCCUAAUACAUGCAAGUCGAACGGAGUGGCGCACGGGUGUGAAAUAUAUAGCAAAUCUGCCACUUGCUGCAGGACAACCGAUAGAAAUGCCUGCUAAUACUCCAUAGCAAGGGAUGAGACUAUAUCGUAUCAGCUCGUCGGUGGGGGAACGGUCUACCGAGGCUACGACGCGGAACUGUGCUGAGAGGAGGAUCAGUAACAUGUGAACUGAGGCACGGGCAGAAAGCCUACGGGAGGGAGCAGUAGGGAAUCUUGCGCAAUGGGGGAGAGCCUGAAGAAGCAUCGCGGCGUGGAGGAUGACACUUUUCGGAGAGUAAACUCCUUUUGGUAGGAAAGCGGUACCUAACGAAUAAGCGCCGGCUGACUCCGUGCCAGCAGCCGCGGUAAUAC